ACUUUCGCCCUGAAUUAUAGUUAAAGUAUGAGGAACACCAUCCUUAUCUAAAGUGAUGUAGUGAAUCCACCUAUCAUGUGAUUCUCAACAGUACUGGUAAGUAUGUUCUUCAUCAAUAAUCUCGGGUAUAAUCCUGAAUACAUAAGCAUGCAUGAUGU
Molecule: long non-coding RNA, 158 nt
Organism: Haliotis rubra (blacklip abalone)
Lineage: Eukaryota; Metazoa; Mollusca; Gastropoda; Lepetellida; Haliotidae
Exons: 2
Source: RefSeq, a predicted model, not a curated record